UUUUGUGGGGUGCUCGAGUGGCGAACGGGUGAGUAACACGUGAGUAACCUGCCCUUGACUUUGGGAUAACUUCAGGAAACUGGGGCUAAUACCGGAUAGGAGCUCCUGUUGCAUGGUGGGGGUUGGAAAGUUUCGGCGGUUGGGGAUGGACUCGCGGCUUAUCAGCUUGUUGGUGGGGUAGUGGCUUACCAAGGCUUUGACGGGUAGCCGGCCUGAGAGGGUGACCGGCCACAUUGGGACUGAGAUACGGCCCAG
RNAcentral lists this ribosomal RNA (255 nucleotides) under uncultured Actinomycetales bacterium. RNAcentral's name for it is "partial 16S ribosomal RNA". It matches the Rfam family "Bacterial small subunit ribosomal RNA", at positions 78 to 334 of the family's 1533-position model. Lineage: Bacteria; Bacillati; Actinomycetota; Actinomycetes; Actinomycetales. The record is from RNAcentral.